RNAcentral lists this ribosomal RNA (276 nucleotides) under uncultured bacterium. Its description in RNAcentral is "partial 16S ribosomal RNA". It matches the Rfam family "Bacterial small subunit ribosomal RNA", at positions 523 to 796 of the family's 1533-position model. The record is from RNAcentral.
AUACGGAGGGUGCAAGCGUUGUCCGGAUUUAUUGGGUUUAAAGGGUGCGUAGGUGGCGUGUUAAGUCAGUGGUGAAAGCCUGCAGCUCAACUGUAGAGGUGCCAUUGAUACUGACAUGCUUGAGUAUGGACGAGGUAGGCGGAAUUUGUGGUGUAGCGGUGAAAUGCAUAGAUACCACAAAGAACACCGAUAGCGAAGGCAGCUUACUGGACCAUAACUGACACUGAGGCACGAAAGUGUGGGUAGCGAACAGGAUUAGAAACCCCGUAGUAGUCC